GUGACCCUGGUGCAAUGUGGAGAAGGGAAGGGAGCUGGGGAAGGGUCUGGAGCACCAGGAGCAAAUGGGGGAGCUGGAGGGGGCUCAGCCUGAAGAAAAAGAGGCUUGGGGGGACCUUCUUGCUCUUCACAACUCUCUG
Corvus hawaiiensis (hawaiian crow) is the source of this 139-nucleotide long non-coding RNA. RefSeq lists it as uncharacterized. The record is from RefSeq and is a predicted model, not a curated record. Lineage: Eukaryota; Metazoa; Chordata; Aves; Passeriformes; Corvidae. The transcript is spliced from 3 exons.